UCCAGUUUUGUUUUGAGGGAUGAUCCAGCUCUGUCGGAGGCACGGAGGCACAGUCAAAUCUCAUGCUGUACAUUGAUCACCUGUCCAACCUUUGCCUAGAGUGGGAGCCCCCAGUUCCUUCAAGAGAUCCAACUUUACCUGUCUGUAAAGAAGAAGAGGAGGAGGGAGACAGCAGGGAGGAUCCGGUGGCAGUUUAACACCAGAGCAGGUCCAAUGUUUACUUUUACCCUUUUGGAGCUAUCAGAAGGGCUGACUAAAGGGCAAGCGCAGCUCUGCAGCAAUAUUCUGAUAAUCUAUUGCAGUGCAGCUCACAUCACUGUUCACCACCACCGGGAACGCGCACGGAGACUGAAGAGGAGCUUUCACUUUCAUUACUGAGCACGGUUCUGUUCGACUCAGUGUUUCCUUCAUCAUCUCAUGUCCUUUCCCAUGGAUUCAGACAUGCUGGAGAGGAGAACGUGGAGGAGGAGACAAUGGCAGGUCCUCCAUUUUUCGGUCGGGAUUCGGGCAUUUAAAAUGUGUUCAUCUCUUCUGAAUGUCAUUAUUUGAUAGCAUUUUACUUCUGUUACUUAAACUUCACUGGAUGAAUCUGAACUCCAUGGGAUCGUAACUGUGGAUUCAGCUUCUGUUGGACAACUAGCUUCAUCUCCCGUCUCUCUGCUGGUUCAGUCUAAGUGGUCAUCUCUAAUGCAUUAGAUUAUCAAAAAGUGUGAAUUCUGUGAGUGAGUGAGUGGUGCUGGUAGUGUUUGUAUACCGAGAUGCAUGGAGUGUUUGACAGAGAAACCAAAGCACCAAAACUGGUGAGCCUUUACCCUCCUCUAUUUCUUUAAUCUGCGGUUUGAAGAACCACAUUUCGAUGGUGGAACCAGUCGUUACCUCUGGGCCAGGUUGGAAAUGAAAUCGAUUCUUUAAACCACUAAU
This 921-nucleotide long non-coding RNA is filed under the name Bos mutus (wild yak). RNAcentral's name for it is "lncRNA (ENSBMUG00000013461.1)". Lineage: Eukaryota; Metazoa; Chordata; Mammalia; Artiodactyla; Bovidae. The record is from RNAcentral.